RNAcentral lists this ribosomal RNA (448 nucleotides) under uncultured bacterium. RNAcentral describes it as "bacterial SSU rRNA". It matches the Rfam family "Bacterial small subunit ribosomal RNA", at positions 330 to 794 of the family's 1533-position model. The record is from RNAcentral.
GCCAGACUCCUACGGGAGGCAGCAGUGGGGAAUAUUGCACAAUGGGGGGAACCCUGAUGCAGCGACGCCGCGUGGGUGAAGGAGUAUUUCGGUAUGUAAAGCCCUCUCAGCAGGGAAGAACAAUGACGGUACCUGACUAAGAAGCACCGGCUAACUACGUGCCAGCAGCCGCGGUAAUACGUAGGUGGCAAGCGUUAUCCGGAUUUACUGGGUGUAAAGGGCGUGUAGGCGGGUCUGCAAGUCAGAUGUGAAAUCUCAUGGCUCAACCAUGGAACUGCAUUUGAAACUGUAGAUCUUGAGUACUGGAGAGGCAGACGGAAUUCCUAGUGUAGCGGUGAAAUGCGUAGAUAUUAGGAGGAACACCAGUGGCGAAGGCGGUCUGCUGGACAGCAACUGACGGUGAGGCGCGAAAGCGUGGGGAGCAAACAGGAUUAGAUACCCGAGUAGC